Molecule: ribosomal RNA, 884 nt
Filed under: Microsporidium sp. deacon-cargill
Lineage: Eukaryota; Fungi; Microsporidia
Description: SSU rRNA
Rfam family: Microsporidia small subunit ribosomal RNA
Source: RNAcentral
AUGGCAGCAGGCGCGAAACUUGCCUAAUCCUGCGGGGAGGCGGUUAUGAGAAGUGAUAUGUGCGUGAUUGCAAAUUGAUUGCGUGUGAUUGGAGGGCAAGUCGGGUGCCAGCAGCCGCGGUAAUACCUGCUCCAAGAGUGUCUAUGGUGAAUGCUGCAGUUAAAAUGUCUGUAGUCGUGUGCGUGCACCACGUUGUUGGAGCGGUGCUUGAGGCCGCGAGUGGACGUGGGCACGUGCGGUGGCGGCGGACGAGGGGCGCUGGAUAGUUGGGCGAGAGGUGAAAUGCGAAGACCCUGACUGGACGGACGGAAGCGAAGGCGGCGCCCUUGGACGCUCGUGGCGACGAAGGACGAAGGCUAGAGGAUCGAAAUCGAUUAGAUACCGUUUUAGUUCUAGCAGUAAACGAUGCCGACUGUGCGGCGCGGGGCGUUGUGCACGAGAAAUCUUAAGUAUGUGGGUUCUGGGGAUAGUAUGCUCGCAAGGGUGAAACUUGAAGAGAUUGACGGAAGGACACCACAAGGAGUGGAGUGUGCGGCUUAAUUUGACUCAACGCGGGGCAACUUACCGGUCCCGAAGGACGCCAGCGAGCCUUGUGGCGAGGUGUGCGACGGUGGUGCAUGGCCGUUUGAAAUGGAUGGCGUGAGCUUUGGAUUGAGUUCUGUAAGACGUGAGACCCUAUGACGGUGUUCUGCGGAGCAAGGGAGGCUGGGAACAGAACAGGUCCGUGAUGCCCUGAGAUGGGCCGGGCUGCACGCGCACUACGAUAGAGGGCUUUUUGGCUCUGCUGUGAGGGAUGAAGCGCUGUGACGGGCUUCUGAACGUGGAAUUCCUAGUAAUAGCUGUUCACCAAGCGGCUUUGAAUGUGUCCCUGUCCUUUGACCCCC